AAGACUGACAAAAAUUGGACUCUCAAACAAGGAUGAGGUUUAUCUUCCCCUUGAUAAUCCAUCAGGAAACAUCACAGGCACUAUACGCAGAAAACCACGAGCCAAAAUGUAGAGAAAGACAACAUUCACAAACCAGACAUCUCAUACAAACAAACCCUAUAAAAGCAAUUUCAAGUUAGGCACUAGCAUGAUUAUCUGUCUAAACAUUCAACAAACUUGAUUUUUUAAAAUUAGAAA
Molecule: long non-coding RNA, 237 nt
Organism: Sinocyclocheilus rhinocerous
Lineage: Eukaryota; Metazoa; Chordata; Actinopteri; Cypriniformes; Cyprinidae
Exons: 2
Source: RefSeq, a predicted model, not a curated record